UCCGGUUUGUCACCGGCAGUCUCCCUAGAGUUCCCACCUUUACGUGCUGGCAACUAGGGAUAGGGGUUGCGCUCGCUACGGGACUUAACCCAACAUCUCACGACACGAGCUGACGACGGACAUGCAGCACCUGUGUCUGAGUUCCCGAAGGCACCAAUCCAUCUCUGGAAAGUUCUCAGCAUGUCAAGGCCAGGUAAGGUUCUUCGCGUUGCGUCGAAUUAAACCACAUGCUCCACCGCUUGUGCGGGCCCCCGUCAAUUCAUUUGAGUUUUAACCUUGCGGCCGUACUCCCCAGGCGGUCGACUUAUCGCGUUAACUGCGCCACAAAGUCCGCGAGGGACCCAACGGCUAGUCGACAUCGUUUACGGCGUGGACUAC
This 378-nucleotide unclassified non-coding RNA is filed under the name uncultured Gammaproteobacteria bacterium. RNAcentral describes it as "contains 16S-23S intergenic spacer region". Lineage: Bacteria; Pseudomonadati; Pseudomonadota; Gammaproteobacteria. The record is from RNAcentral.